This is a non-coding RNA of Cinara cedri, 543 nucleotides long. Lineage: Eukaryota; Metazoa; Arthropoda; Insecta; Hemiptera; Aphididae. The record is from the annotation of a GenBank genome assembly.
UUAAGCUUUACUUUAAAACCAUUUUUAAUUUUUUCCCUACUCCUAUCCCAUACCUUAAAUAAGUGCAUACGUUUGAUUUUCAAAUAGGACCCUCCCCCCUUUUGAACACAGAUUUUAAUAGAGAACAUUGUAUAUUCAUAACACUAAUAUUAGAUUUACCGUUUAUGAGUUAUAACAGUUUAAAGUUUAGACCGGAGGAGUAGGGAAGGAUAAUCAAUUGCCUAUCUAUAUCUAAUAAAAUUCACUUAAAAUCCUCUGAGAUAACUGUAGGUUCAUGAUAAAAAAAAAUCACCCUGUAUAGAUGAAAAGAAAGUUUAAACCGUGUUCAUUUGCCAAUCUAUAAUUCUAUAAAUAAUAUAAUAUGUUAUUUCUAUAAACGAAACGAUUUGAGCAUAAUUUUGUCAGCUAAAAUCGUUGAAAAUCGAUAAAAUGCAGGUGUCUAUAUAGUCGUAUGUUAUAGCUAUAUAGCUGUAAUAGUGUUGUUCAAUCGAUUUAUUGGUUUAUUUUAUAUCUACCACGAUAAAUUAAACGGGGCAUAUACCG